GUAGAAAUAUAAUAUUUGAUGUUGUAUUUCAUAAUAAAGAUUACAACCUAUUUAUAUAUAAAAGAUGGUAUCUAAACAGAAAAGAAAAUCAAGUCUAUAAUUAUACAAUCCCUAAGAUUAAGCAACUAACCCAUCUAUCAAUAUUUACUUCCUAUAUUAAUAUAUUUACUUCCUAUAAUCUAUAACACUCCCCCUCAAGUUGGAGCAUAAAUGUUAAUCAUGUCCAACUUGUUACAUAUAUAAUCAACUCGUCCCAUACAACUUAACAGACACCAAAUUUGUAAACCCAACUUCUUCCAAUAAUUGACGUACCCACAAAACUUCACAAACGGUUUUUGCCAUGACUCGACAUUUAGAUUCAGCACUAGAAUGGGAAACCACAUUUUCUCAGCUUGUUAAAACGCCUUACUGUGAAUAGAAUUUCGAAUCCGUGAACAGUACUCGUGACUCGUGAACAGUACUCGUGAACAAUACCCCCUAUGAACAGUACUCGUGACUCGUGAACAGUACUCGUGAACAAUACCCCCUAUGAACAGUACUCGUGAACAGUACCCCCGAUAAACAGUACUCGUGAACAAUACCCGAUGAAUAAUUCCCGUGAACAAUACUUGAUGAAUAAUUCCCGUGAACAAUACUUGAUGAAUAAUUCCCGUGAACAAUACUUGAUGAAUAAUUCUCGUGAACAAUACUUGAUGAACAGAGCCCUAAGUCUCCAAGUGUUACCCUUUAUGGAUAACCCAAAUGAAUAGAGCCCUAAGUCUCCAAGUGUUACCCUUUAUGGAUAACCCAAAUGAACAGAGCCCUAAGUUUCCAAGUGUUACCCUUUAUGGAUAACCCAAAUGAACAUAGACUUAAAUCUCCAAAUGUUACCCUUUAUGAGUAACCCAAAUGAAUAGAGCCCUAAGUCUCCAAAUGUUACCCUUUAUGAGUAACCCAAAUGAAUAGAGCCCUAUGUGAGUAACCCAAAUUAACAGAGCCCUAAAUCUCUAAAUGUUACCCUUUGUGAAUAACCCAAAUGAACAGAGGUCUAAGUCUCCAAAUGUUACUCUUUAUGAGUAACCCAAAUGAACAGAUCCAAAUGUUACUCUUUAUUAUGAGUAACCCAAAUGAACAGAGCGCUACGUCUCCAAAUGUUAUCCUUUAUGAGUAACCCAAAUGAACAGAGUUCUAAGUCUCCAAAUGUUACUCUUUAUGAGUAACCCAAAUGAAUAGAGCCCUAAGUCUCCAAAUGUUACUCUUUUAUGGGUAACCCAAAUAAACAGAGUCCUAAGUCUCCAAAAGUUACUCUUUAUGGGUAAUCCAAAUGAAUAAUAUCAAAAAGACGCCUUCACCCAACACCCGAACGGCAAACGAACCACAAAUUUGACAAGGGAGCUACAAGGCGAUUUUGGCAUCCUCUCUAGGUGAACGGUGAGAGACAAAUAUUAUCCUAGAUGGAUAACACAAAAGAACAGGAGUCCUGAGUCUCCAAAAAUUUAAAAUUUGACGAGAUAGAAAAUAAAUCUCUACAAACCUGGCUCUGAUACCAUGUAGAAAUAUAAUAUUUGAUGUUGUAUUUCAUAAUAAAGAUUACAACCUAUUUAUAUAUAAAAGAUGGUAUCUAAACAGGAAAGAAAAUCAAGUCUAUAAUUAUACAAUCCCUAAGAUUAAGCAACUAACCCAUCUAUCAAUAUUUACUUUCUAUAUUAAUAUAUUUACU
Molecule: long non-coding RNA, 1699 nt
Filed under: Manihot esculenta (cassava)
Lineage: Eukaryota; Viridiplantae; Streptophyta; Magnoliopsida; Malpighiales; Euphorbiaceae
Description: long non-coding RNA (MESC_LNC004351)
Source: RNAcentral